This 225-nucleotide ribosomal RNA is filed under the name Triticum aestivum (bread wheat). RNAcentral's name for it is "partial small subunit ribosomal RNA". The record is from RNAcentral. Lineage: Eukaryota; Viridiplantae; Streptophyta; Magnoliopsida; Poales; Poaceae.
AGGCAUAGUAGAGAAAGUCUGAGGAGCAGGAAAAUUUGGUCACGUAGAUCUUCUAUUUCGCCGGAAUUCGUUGAUUGCUCCGUACUCAUUUACAAUGGAAAAACUCCUGUUCGUUGUAAGAUCACUGAAGGAAAGGUUGGUCAUAAAUUUGGAGAGUUUGCUUUUACACGGAGACGAAGACCCUAUCGAACAAAUAGAGCAAAGGGCGGAAAGGGGAAAAAGUAA